UGGGGAAUAUUGCGCAAUGGGCGAAAGCCUGACGCAGCGACGCCGCGUGUGGGAUGACGGCCUUCGGGUUGUAAACCACUGUCGCGAGGGACGAAGAUCUGACGGUACCUCGAAAGGAAGCACCGGCUAACUCUGUGCCAGCAGCCGCGGUAAUACAGAGGGUGCGAGCGUUGUCCGGAAUCACUGGGCGUAAAGGGCGCGUAGGUGGCCUGGUAAGUAGGGGGUGAAAUCUCGAGGCUCAACUUCGAGGCUGCCUCCUAAACUGUCAGGCUUGAGCAGAGUAGAGGCAGGUGGAAUUCCCGGUGUAGCGGUGGAAUGCGUAGAGAUCGGGAAGAACAUCGGUGGCGAAGGCGGCCUGCUGGGCUCUUGCUGACACUGAUGCGCGACAGCGUGGGGAGCAAACAG
This 405-nucleotide ribosomal RNA is filed under the name uncultured bacterium. RNAcentral describes it as "bacterial SSU rRNA". It matches the Rfam family "Bacterial small subunit ribosomal RNA", at positions 355 to 775 of the family's 1533-position model. The record is from RNAcentral.